This 584-nucleotide ribosomal RNA is filed under the name uncultured archaeon. RNAcentral describes it as "bacterial SSU rRNA". It matches the Rfam family "Archaeal small subunit ribosomal RNA", at positions 89 to 656 of the family's 1478-position model. The record is from RNAcentral.
CUCAUUAACACGUAGUCAACCUGCCCUAGAGACACGGACAACCCCGGGAAACUGGGAUUAAUCCGUGAUAGGUCACCUCAUCUGGAAGGAGAGAUGGCUUAAAGGGGUACGCGGGCUUCUUCUGCGUAUUCGCUCUAGGAUGGGACUGCGUCCGAUCAGGCUGUUGGCGGGGUAAUGGCCCACCAAACCUGUAACCGGUACGGGCCUUGAGAGAGGUGGCCCGGAGAUGGACACUGAGAGAAGGGUCCAGGUCCUACGGGGCGCAGCAGGCGCGAAACCUUCGCAAUGCGCGAAAGCGUGACGAGGUUAAUCCGAGUGGUCCCCGCUGAGGGGAUCUUUUGUCAGCUGUAAAUAGGCAGGCGAAUAAGGGGAGGGCAAGCCUGGUGUCAGCCGCCGCGGUAAUACCAGCUCCUCGAGUGGUCGGGGCGAUUAUUGGGCCUAAAGCAUCCGUAGCCGGUUCCGUAGGUCCUCUGUUAAAUCCAACCGCUUAACGGUUGACCUGCAGAGGAUACCGCGGGACUAGGAGGCAGGAGAGGCGGACGGUACUCCGCGUGUAGGGGUAAAAUCCUUUGAUCCGCGGAAGA